This 492-nucleotide ribosomal RNA is filed under the name uncultured bacterium. Its description in RNAcentral is "partial 16S ribosomal RNA". It matches the Rfam family "Bacterial small subunit ribosomal RNA", at positions 29 to 507 of the family's 1533-position model. The record is from RNAcentral.
AGUGAACGCUGGCGGUAGGCCUAACACAUGCAAGUCGAACGGCAGCACAGUAAGAGCUUGCUCUUACGGGUGGCGAGUGGCGGACGGGUGCGGAAUACAUCGGAAUCUACUUUUUCGUGGGGGAUAACGUAGGGAAACUUACGCUAAUACCGCAUACGACCUACGGGUGAAAGCAGGGGAUCUUCGGACCUUGCGCGAUUGAAUGAGCCGAUGUCGGAUUAGCUAGUCGGCGGGGUAACGGCCCACCAAGGCGACGAUCCGUAGCCGGUCUGAGAGGAUGAUCAGCCACACUGGAACUGAGACACGGUCCAGACUCCUACGGGAGGCAGCAGUAGGGAAUAUUCGACAAUGGGCGAAAGCCUGAUGGGGCAAUGCCGCGUGGGUGAAGAAGGCCUUCGGAUUGUAAAGCUCUUUUGUUGGGAAAGAACAGAAGCAGGAUUAAAGCCGGCCGUUCUGACGGUACCCAAUGAAAAAGCAACGGCUAACUUCGUG